UUCAUCGUCAUCUUCAAUGUCAACGAUUCCACCGAGGGGAUGAACAAGAAGUGGUGGGUCAAUGUCCACAGUUGUGUGGGUAGACAUAAUAGUAACAACCUCUUCUUGAAACGGUUGAUCUAAUGUUGAGUUAGAUGCGGCAGUGGAGACUUCAACCUUUGAUCUUGCGUUGACUUUGCAUGCUGACCACCAAUUUUUCUUUGAUUGUUUCGUACUGGGAUAGGGGCAGUAAAACACUUGAACUGCCUGACUCGCUAAAACAAACGGAUCAUACUUCUGAUAUUUUCUUGUGUGGUUCACUGAAACCAACUUGAAGUCUGUAUCAAUAGAAGUUUCCCGAGCAGACAAGUCAAACCAUUCACAUUUGAACAAGACUGUCUUCUUAAUUGGAUGCCCCCAUACUCCAGCACACACACCUCUUGUAGACGCCCAUAAAAGUCUUGCACAUCUCUACCAUAGACCGAGCCUUUUAUGCAAACGCCACUGUUCACAGUUGCACGCUCUCUAUCAAGAUCAGUUGUGUGAAAUCUAUAGCCAUUCACAAAAUACCCGGAGUAUGUUUCAAUCUCAGUUAAAG
This 577-nucleotide long non-coding RNA is filed under the name Salvia miltiorrhiza (redroot sage). RNAcentral's name for it is "long non-coding RNA (SMIL_LNC007287)". The record is from RNAcentral. Lineage: Eukaryota; Viridiplantae; Streptophyta; Magnoliopsida; Lamiales; Lamiaceae.